RNAcentral lists this unclassified non-coding RNA (281 nucleotides) under fungal sp. Its description in RNAcentral is "partial internal transcribed spacer region". The record is from RNAcentral. Lineage: Eukaryota; Fungi.
AAGUUGUAACAAGGUCUUUGUUGGUGAACCAAUGGAGGGAUCAUUACUGAGUCAUGUGCUUAAACAAUCCUUCUGUGGACCUGAAUUAAACCAUUGCCUUGGUGGAUGGUCCCCUGCCAAAACCCAUGUGGUUGUGGACAAAGGACCAGACAGUCUGGCAUGCUUAAGGUGUCUGGUGCCAGCCGUUGGCCCUAACCAAUUAAACUCUAGUAACCUUAUCUUCUGAGUUUUAAUACAAAAAAAAUAAGUCAAAACUUUCAACAAUGGAUCUCUUGGCUCUG